RNAcentral lists this transfer RNA (75 nucleotides) under Planctomycetota bacterium. Its description in RNAcentral is "tRNA-Pro". It matches the Rfam family "tRNA". Rfam says of the family: Transfer RNA (tRNA) molecules are approximately 80 nucleotides in length. The record is from RNAcentral. Lineage: Bacteria; Pseudomonadati; Planctomycetota.
CGGAGUGUAGCGCAGUCUGGCUAGCGCACCUGGUUUGGGACCAGGGGGUCGUAGGUUCGAAUCCUAUCACUCCGA